This is a long non-coding RNA of Cyprinus carpio (common carp), 1276 nucleotides long. The record is from Ensembl. Lineage: Eukaryota; Metazoa; Chordata; Actinopteri; Cypriniformes; Cyprinidae.
UUGACCCCCUCAUCAAAACACUCUUUUUGAAUAGGCGUGGCAGAUUGUAGACUCGGAAGUAAACGCCCACUGAUAUAAUUGGCUAACUGUUGUGUAUGUUUGACAGUCUACAUCCUUCACAGCUGCUGUGUUUUAGUUUAAAAAAAGCAUCAAUACUAAGUACAUACCAAAUGAUCUGUUUAACAGAGAAAGCAAUAGUGAUCACGUAAUAAAAACAGUUACUACUCUCACUUGUGUGGUGCUCUUGUCAUUUACCUACAACAUGUGCGAAUCGGUGGGCGGGGCUAAAGUAGUAAAGAAGUAGGGAUUGAUCUUCUUCUGCGGACGCAGUGUUUAGCUGCACUUUUACAUCAUAAAGUGGAAGUGUAGAUUCUACAAACUGUUUUGGCAGAUUGCCAUCAAUAUAAGCUGAUUUUAGACUAAUAAAAAAGUCUUAAAUUUUGAAUCUUACAGGAUGUUUUUAUAGCCUGAUGAAAUGACCUCUUAUAUAUGAAAAGAUCAAGGGAAUUUUGAUUUCUCAAUUCUCAACCCCUUUAAUCUGUUACAAUAUGCUUGUUUAAUCCCUGUUCUGGUUUUUUUUUUUUUUUUUUUUUUUACUUUUAUUUAAUCAUCUUGGUUUGAUAAUGGGUUGAAUCUCUUUUAUAAUUAUUUUUGUUUUCUCUUUUAUAGUCCCCUUCCAAUGAAAAACCCGGGACAGAUCCAUUUGUUCCACCAAACCCAUCAGAAUCACCACCUCCUCAACCUGAGAACUGCCCUGUCAACUCCGUCAGUCUGUUCAGCAGAAGCCCUUCCUCCACUGACACACUCACAGCUCUUGAAGGGUUGUCUCUACAAGCUCAAACUGCAGUCUCCACUCCUCUGUGGAAUCAGCCGCUCUCCUCCAUCUUCCCCAGCACCACCAGUGUCUCUCAGCCUUUCAAUCAAGCACCUGUCUUCUCCACUUCUCCUGCGCCUGCCUGGGGAAACAUUCCUGGAAGUUUUGGGAGUUCAACUGCUACCCAACAGCUUCCGUCAUGGAGCACCACCCCAGUCUCCAACGGAUGCAAUGGAUCCUGGAGCCCUCAUUCAGCCCUGGGGAACCCCUUCCAGACAGGCAUAUUUCCACCCAGCCUUGUGCCCGAUGGACAGCAGAGCUCCAGUCUCCCUCCACUGGUUCCACCUCGGGCAGUAGCCACCAAAGAAGCUCCAAAAGUGGACAGUAAUGCUUUUGUUGACCUGGAUCCUCUGGGAGAAAAGGAGAAGAGAGAUAUCAAGGACAUGUUUAAGGAUUUCCAGA